GACGAACGCUGGCGGCGUGCUUAACACAUGCAAGUCGAACGGAAAGGCCCUGCUUGCAGGGUGCUCGAGUGGCGAACGGGUGAGUAACACGUGGGUGAUCUGCCCCUUACUUUGGGAUAAGCCUGGGAAACUGGGUCUAAUACUGGAUAGGACCCUGCUGUAGGUGGUGUGGUGGACAGAUUAGUUUCGGUAAGGGAUGAGCUCGCGGCCUAUCAGCUUGUUGGUGGGGUAAUGGCCUACCAAGGCGUCGACGGGUAGCCGGCCUGAGAGGGUGGACGGCCACAUUGGGACUGAGAUACGGCGCAGAAUCCUACGGGAGGCAGCAGUGGGGAAUAGUGUACAAUGGGAGCAAGCCUGAUGCAGCGACGCCGCGUGGGGGAUGAAGGCCUGCGGGUUGUAAACUCCUUUCAGCCAUGACGAAGCCCUUGUGGUGACGGUAGUGGUAGAAGAAGCACCGGCUAACUACGUG
This 469-nucleotide ribosomal RNA is filed under the name uncultured bacterium. RNAcentral describes it as "partial 16S ribosomal RNA". It matches the Rfam family "Bacterial small subunit ribosomal RNA", at positions 28 to 507 of the family's 1533-position model. The record is from RNAcentral.